RNAcentral lists this ribosomal RNA (596 nucleotides) under uncultured bacterium. RNAcentral describes it as "bacterial SSU rRNA". It matches the Rfam family "Bacterial small subunit ribosomal RNA", at positions 14 to 602 of the family's 1533-position model. The record is from RNAcentral.
UGAUCCUGGCUCAGAUUGAACGCUGGCGGCAGGCUUAACACAUGCAAGUCGAGCGGAGAGAAGUAGCUUGCUACUGAUUUUAGCGGCGGACGGGUGAGUAAUACUUAGGAAUCUGGCUAUUAGUGGGGGACAGCAUUUCGAAAGGGAUGCUAAUACCGCAUACGUCCUACGGGAGAAAGCAGGGGAUCAGUAAUGACCUUGCGCUAAUAGAUGAGCCUAAGUCGGAUUAGCUAGUUGGUGGGGUAAAGGCCUACCAAGGCGACGAUCUGUAGCGGGUCUGAGAGGAUGAUCCGCCACACUGGGACUGAGACACGGCCCAGACUCCUACGGGAGGCAGCAGUGGGGAAUAUUGGACAAUGGGGGGAACCCUGAUCCAGCCAUGCCGCGUGUGUGAAGAAGGCCUUAUGGUUGUAAAGCACUUUAAGCGAGGAGGAGGGUACUGGUAUUAAUACUACCAGCUACUGGACGUUACUCGCAGAAUAAGCACCGGCUAACUCUGUGCCAGCAGCCGCGGUAAUACAGAGGGUGCGAGCGUUAAUCGGAUUUACUGGGCGUAAAGCGUGCGUAGGCGGCUAAUUGAGUCGGAUGUGAAAUCC